RNAcentral lists this ribosomal RNA (477 nucleotides) under Myrmeleon caliginosus. RNAcentral describes it as "bacterial SSU rRNA". It matches the Rfam family "Eukaryotic small subunit ribosomal RNA", at positions 1045 to 1446 of the family's 1831-position model. The record is from RNAcentral. Lineage: Eukaryota; Metazoa; Arthropoda; Insecta; Neuroptera; Myrmeleontidae.
GCUAGCGAUCCGCCAAAGUUCCUCCGAUGACUUGGUGGGCAGCUUCCGGGAAACCAAAGCAUUUGGGUUCCGGGGGAAGUAUGGUUGCAAAGCUGAAACUUAAAGGAAUUGACGGAAGGGCACCACCAGGAGUGGAGCCUGCGGCUUAAUUUGACUCAACACGGGAAACCUCACCAGGCCCGGACACCGGAAGGAUUGACAGAUUGAGAGCUCUUUCUUGAUUCGGUGGGUGGUGGUGCAUGGCCGUUCUUAGUUGGUGGAGCGAUUUGUCUGGUUAAUUCCGAUAACGAACGAGACUCUAGCCUACUAAAUAGACGUACUUUAUUACCGGCAUCUCAAGGCCCAUCGGCUGUAUUGUUACUGGAAUGUUAUUUGUAUAUUUUGUUAAUAUCUAUAUAUCUAUUAUAUGUAUGAUUGAAUAAUAUGUGUAUAUUAUUUUGUGUGUAUUAUUUUAUAAUCUCACUUAAUUAAAAUUAU